GUCGAUUCUCGUUUGCGGUUGCCUCGUUUUUCGCUCCGCUUCGUUGUUGUUUUUGUUAUCCGUCGGUUUCUUUUAGCGGAGUUUGUUUUCGGUUUUCGAUUAAGUUCUGUUUUCGCUUUUUUUUUCUGUGCCCCGAGUUGCACGCAGGCGCAACAGCAAAAUAAGAGGAGAAACAGCGAAAAUCGUUGUUGCAAGUGGCUGCGUUCUCCGACGUCGACGGCGCAGCGGCGCAGGCGCAACAGCAGCGGAACAACGAAUCAAAUGGAAUUGGAUUUCGCCUCAACGAACAAUUAAUUGGAAUUACAUUUCAACUGGAAGUGAGUUGCCUUAAUUUGGAGGAAGGAAAAUUGAAUUGGGUAAG
Drosophila takahashii is the source of this 361-nucleotide non-coding RNA. The record is from RefSeq and is a predicted model, not a curated record. NCBI's taxonomy places the organism in Eukaryota, Metazoa, Arthropoda, Insecta, Diptera, Drosophilidae.